Molecule: ribosomal RNA, 433 nt
Filed under: uncultured bacterium
Lineage: Bacteria
Description: partial 16S ribosomal RNA
Rfam family: Bacterial small subunit ribosomal RNA
Source: RNAcentral
AACGAACGCUGGCGGCAGGCCUAACACAUGCAAGUCGAGCGCGCCCUUCGGGGUGAGCGGCGGACGGGUGAGUAACGCGUGGGAACGUGCCCUUUUCUACGGAAUAGCCUCGGGAAACUGAGAGUAAUACCGUAUACGCCCUUUGGGGGAAAGAUUUAUCGGAAAAGGAUCGGCCCGCGUUGGAUUAGGUAGUUGGUGGGGUAAUGGCCUACCAAGCCGACGAUCCAUAGCUGGUUUGAGAGGAUGAUCAGCCACACUGGGACUGAGACACGGCCCAGACUCCUACGGGAGGCAGCAGUGGGGAAUCUUAGACAAUGGGGGCAACCCUGAUCUAGCCAUGCCGCGUGAGUGAUUAAGGCCUUAGGGUUGUAAAGCUCUUUCAGCUGGGAAGAUAAUGACGGUACCAGCAGAAGAAGCCCCGGCUAACUCCGUG